This 1234-nucleotide long non-coding RNA is filed under the name Heterocephalus glaber (naked mole-rat). RNAcentral's name for it is "lncRNA (ENSHGLG00100046243.1)". The record is from RNAcentral. Lineage: Eukaryota; Metazoa; Chordata; Mammalia; Rodentia; Bathyergidae.
GUAAAUAUUUUAUUACAUUUUCAAUUUCACUCAUUGUAAUUGGGGUGUUUAGAAUUUCUAUAUCUUCUUCAUUUAACUUUGGCAAUUUGUAUGUAUCUAGGAAUCUGCCCAUUUAUUUUGUGAUUUCCAUUUUAUUGGAGUAGAGGUUCUUAAAGUAUGUAUUGAUGAUCCUCUGGAUUUCUGUUGGAUCUGUUGUGACUUCACCUUUUUCAUUCUUUUUUUUUUUUUCCAGGGCAGAGGCAUUUAUUGCUAAGGUAUCUGGAAAGUUGGAGUUCUGUGUAAAACCUUUUGAUUGUCAAAUGUUGGCAAACUACCGUCACGUUAAAUAUAUUGGCCUGCGAGAUCGGGGCUGUGGGCCACCAGUGUGCACUCUAUUCCAAAAGCUCUUUCAGGAAUGACGUAGGAGAUGGGACUCAGUAAGCUGAUGUCCCCUGGCUUCAGGGGUCCUGAAGAAAUGGAAUGAGUGGGGAGGUCCAGGCCUAGAUCCCUCCAGAGCACUGUAAUGGUAUAGGACAGCCUGGCUCCUGAAUGCCUUUUCAUGCCCACUGUGCCCUCCUAGUGUACGCUGCUGGCAAAGCAGCCACCUCAGGUGUGCCAAGCAUCUACGCCCCCAGCACCUAAGCCUACCUCUCCCCUGCCAAGACCCCACCCCCACUGCCAAUCAUGAUUCCCAUGGGCCCCAUCUACAAUGGCUACCCUGGAGGGUACCCUGGAGACUUCGAUAGGAACAGCUCAGUGGGCGGCCACAGCUCUCAGGUACCCCUGCUUUGAGACACGGACAGCAAUUCAACCUCUGAAGUCCGUAGUGGCUACGGAUCCAGGCCAAUCAGCAGGAUGAUUCCAUGAGAGUCCCAGCCAGGUUCCGCAGAAUCUGCAAGGUCUCCUGCAAGUAGCGGGAGGAGAGGAAGGGCCUAUGCACCCCCUCGAAGCCGCAGCCGUGAUGACCUCUUCAACCCAGACGUCUCGAGGGACUUCCCACACUCUGGAGAUCCCCAUUGUGAUGACUUCAAAUCUAAACUUGGCCCUCAGUCGGGAAAGUUUAGUCGUCUGAUCUCACAUUUUGUAUGUAGCUUUUGUACUUUUUAUUUUUUGGUACUGGGGACUAAACCCACAGGUUUCGCACUGAGCUACGUCUCCGGCCCUUUUUCACUUUUUAAAAUUUUGAGACAGGGUCUCGCAGAGUUGCUGAAGCUGAGCUCGAAUUUACAGUCCUGCCUCGGCCUCCCUGUGUUGG